GAUGAACGCUGGCGGCGUGCCUAAUACAUGCAAGUAGAACGCUGAAGCUUGGUGCUUGCACCGAGCGGAUGAGUUGCGAACGGGUGAGUAACGCGUAAGUAACCUGCCUCUUAGCGGGGGAUAACUAUUGGAAACGAUAGCUAAUACCGCAUAAAAGUCGACAUCGCAUGAUGUUGACUUGAAAGGUGCAAUUGCAUCACUAAGAGAUGGACCUGCGUUGUAUUAGCUAGUUGGUGAGGUAACGGCUCACCAAGGCGACGAUACAUAGCCGACCUGAGAGGGUGAUCGGCCACACUGGGACUGAGACACGGCCCAGACUCCUACGGGAGGCAGCAGUAGGGAAUCUUCGGCAAUGGGGGCAACCCUGACCGAGCAACGCCGCGUGAGUGAAGAAGGUUUUCGGAUCGUAAAGCUCUGUUGUAAGAGAAGAACGAGUGUGAGAGUGGAAAGUUCACACUGUGACGGUAACUUACCAGAAAGGGACGGCUAACUACGUGCCAGCAGCCGCGGUAAUACGUAGGUCCCGAGCGUUAUCCGGAUUUAUUGGGCGUAAAGCGAGCGCAGGCGGUUAGAUAAGUCUGAAGUUAAAGGCUGUGGCUUAACCAUAGUACGCUUUGGAAACUGUUUAACUUGAGUGCAGAAGGGGAGAGUGGAAUUCCAUGUGUAGCGGUGAAAUGCGUAGAUAUAUGGAGGAACACCGGUGGCGAAAGCGGCUCUCUGGUCUGUAACUGACGCUGAGGCUCGAAAGCGUGGGGAGCAAACAGG
RNAcentral lists this ribosomal RNA (765 nucleotides) under uncultured Streptococcus sp. RNAcentral describes it as "bacterial SSU rRNA". It matches the Rfam family "Bacterial small subunit ribosomal RNA", at positions 28 to 776 of the family's 1533-position model. The record is from RNAcentral. Lineage: Bacteria; Bacillati; Bacillota; Bacilli; Lactobacillales; Streptococcaceae.